CCACCAUGAGGGGUGUGUCAUUGUGACAGUUCUUGAGGCCGCUGUCAGCCCCGCUGCGCACCAGUGUGCGCACCAGAGGCAGAAGCCCGCGGCCAGACGCGGAAUGCAGAGCCGAGCUGCCAGAGUACAUCUGAGCGUUCACGUUGGCGCCGUGCUGUGGGACGGGGAAAUUCGAGUCAAGAGCCACGUGGGCCAGUGGCCUCACUUGGCCUGGGGUCAGUUAGGUGAAGGGGACGGACAGGUGAUCACAACUGGGGCUCACUCCAGCAGCCAGACCCUGAAAAGAUUCUGGACAUGGGGCUGGUCAAA
Molecule: long non-coding RNA, 309 nt
Filed under: Rattus norvegicus (Norway rat)
Lineage: Eukaryota; Metazoa; Chordata; Mammalia; Rodentia; Muridae
Description: long non-coding RNA NONRATT000444
Source: RNAcentral